UAAAGCAACAAAAAUAUACUGACUGGAAAAAAAAAAAAAACAACAGCAGAAUUUAAGAGGUGCAUCUCACUAUUGUAUCUCUACAUAAUUACCUGGCUUAAGUUACGGAGUAUAAACUAGUAGGCAUGUUAUUGAUCUACUGAAGUGAACUUUUUUCCUUUAGAGAAAAUUUAAAGAAAACAUCGAUCUAAAUGUCAAAUAUAUACAACAGAAUAUAAAUCAUUUUUCCAUUCUCUUGUUAUAUAAGUAAACUAUGAGAAUAGAAUUGGCUGGGUUUCUGAGGUGAAAUCCACAAUAAGAUUACUAGGUAGUUCAGUAAGUUAUACCUAACAGUAUGAAAAGAGGGUAUAGCUAUUUUAUACUUUUCAUAACAUUUGAGAGUAAGACAUUCUUUUAGGAUGGAAAAUGAUCAGUAAGUAUUUAGAUCUGAAGUCUGUUGUCAAGAUAAGGACUGGGGCUCACAUUAUGUAACCUUCAGUAUUAUCUUAGAGUACCCGGAAGAAACAGUUCCCCUGUCAUAGUGUUCUUUUAAAGGAGAAAGUUUAUGCAAAAAUGAAAUCAUGCCAGUAACAGAGAAACUGUAAAUUCAAGUUUGAUAGUACCUGUUUAAGUGUUGUACUUCCAUUGCAGAGAGCAUCUAAUAUCCCAGUUUAGAUCUGUUUCUUUAUACUUUUUCUAGUUGCUUGCUUAACGUUACGUUAGGUCAUUAUAACUCUCCCACCCCAUCAACUAGAUAAGCAAGAAUCUUUUAACAUAGUAGAUAGCCUGGUGGUUUUAGAAGUCUUUGGUGAUUUUUAUUGGCGGGAGUUUUCCUAAGUAUUGGUUUAGGGACAUCUCCUCAGAUACUAGCACAGCAUUUCUUGGGUGGUAAUCACGGGUUUGAUGCCUAUCUCCCUCAGAGAAUAGCGUUUUCCUCACUAACAC
RNAcentral lists this long non-coding RNA (924 nucleotides) under Bos taurus (domestic cattle). RNAcentral's name for it is "long non-coding RNA NONBTAT023283". Lineage: Eukaryota; Metazoa; Chordata; Mammalia; Artiodactyla; Bovidae. The record is from RNAcentral.